AACGAACGCUGGCGGCAUGCCUAACACAUGCAAGUCGAACGAGACCUUCGGGUCUAGUGGCGCACGGGUGCGUAACGCGUGGGAACCUGCACUUAGGUUCGGAAUAACUCCCCGAAAGGAGUGCUAAUACCGGAUAAUGUCUUCGGACCAAAGACUUAUCGCCCUUGGAUGGGCCGGCGUUGGAUUAGCUAGUUGGUAGGGUAAAAGCCUACCAAGGCGCCGAUCCAUAGCUGGUCUGAGAGACUGAUCAGCCACACUGAGACUGAGACACGGCCCAGACUCCUACGGGAGGCGGCAGUGGGGAAUAUUGGACAAUGGGCGAAAGCCUGAUCCAGCAAUGCCGCGUGAGUGAUGAAGGCCUUAGGGUUGUAAAGCGCUUUUACCCGGGAUGAUAAUGACAGUACCGGGAGAAUAAGCUCCGGCUAACUCCGUG
RNAcentral lists this ribosomal RNA (433 nucleotides) under uncultured bacterium. RNAcentral describes it as "partial 16S ribosomal RNA". It matches the Rfam family "Bacterial small subunit ribosomal RNA", at positions 29 to 507 of the family's 1533-position model. The record is from RNAcentral.